AGUGAACGCUGGCGGUAGGCCUAACACAUGCAAGUCGAACGGCAGCACAGUAAGAGCUUGCUCUUACGGGUGGCGAGUGGCGGACGGGUGAGGAAUACAUCGGAAUCUACUUUUUCGUGGGGGAUAGCGUAGGGAAACUUACGCUAAUACCGCAUACGACCUACGGGUGAAAGCAGGGGAUCUUCGGACCUUGCGCGAUUGAAUGAGCCGAUGUCGGAUUAGCUAGUUGGCGGGGUAAAGGCCCACCAAGGCGACGAUCCGUAGCUGGUCUGAGAGGAUGAUCAGCCACACUGGAACUGAGAAACGGUCCAGACUCCUACGGGAGGCAGCAGUGGGGAAUAUUGGACAAUGGGCGCAAGCCUGAUCCAGCCAUACCGCGUGGGUGAAGAAGGCCUUCGGGUUGUAAAGCCCUUUUGUUGGGAAAGAAAAGCAGCAGGUUAAUACCCCGCUGUUCUGACGGUACCCAAAGAAUAAGCACCGGCUAACUUCGUG
This 492-nucleotide ribosomal RNA is filed under the name uncultured bacterium. RNAcentral's name for it is "partial 16S ribosomal RNA". It matches the Rfam family "Bacterial small subunit ribosomal RNA", at positions 29 to 507 of the family's 1533-position model. The record is from RNAcentral.